This 73-nucleotide transfer RNA is filed under the name Lepisosteus oculatus (spotted gar). It matches the Rfam family "tRNA". From Rfam's summary of the family: Transfer RNA (tRNA) molecules are approximately 80 nucleotides in length. Their secondary structure includes four short double-helical elements and three loops (D, anti-codon, and T loops). Further hydrogen bonds mediate the characteristic L-shaped molecular structure. tRNAs have two regions of fundamental functional importance: the anti-codon, which is responsible for specific mRNA codon recognition, and the 3' end, to which the tRNAs corresponding amino acid is attached (by aminoacyl-tRNA synthetases). tRNAs cope with the degeneracy of the genetic code in two manners: having more than one tRNA (with a specific anti-codon) for a particular amino acid; and 'wobble' base-pairing, i.e. permitting non-standard base-pairing at the 3rd anti-codon position. The record is from Rfam by way of RNAcentral. Lineage: Eukaryota; Metazoa; Chordata; Actinopteri; Semionotiformes; Lepisosteidae.
GCCUGACUAGCUCAGUCAGUAGAGCACAAAACUCUUAAUCUUAGGGUUGUGGGUUCAAACCCCAUGUUUGGGG